Molecule: ribosomal RNA, 1400 nt
Filed under: uncultured Synechococcus sp.
Lineage: Bacteria; Bacillati; Cyanobacteriota; Cyanophyceae; Synechococcales; Synechococcaceae
Description: bacterial SSU rRNA
Rfam family: Bacterial small subunit ribosomal RNA
Source: RNAcentral
GAACCUUCGGGUUAGUGGCGGACGGGUGAGUAACGCGUGAGAAUCUGCCCUCAGGAGGGGGAUAACGGCUGGAAACGGCCGCUAAUACCCCAUAUGCCGAGAGGUGAAAUGAAUUUCGCCUGAGGAUGAGCUCGCGUCUGAUUAGCUAGUUGGUGAGGUAAUGGCUCACCAAGGCUUCGAUCAGUAGCUGGUCUGAGAGGAUGAUCAGCCACACUGGGACUGAGACACGGCCCAGACUCCUACGGGAGGCAGCAGUGGGGAAUUUUCCGCAAUGGGCGAAAGCCUGACGGAGCAACGCCGCGUGAGGGAUGAAGGCCUCUGGGCUGUAAACCUCUUUUAUCAAGGAAGAAGAUCUGACGGUACUUGAUGAAUAAGCCACGGCUAAUUCCGUGCCAGCAGCCGCGGUAAUACGGGAGUGGCAAGCGUUAUCCGGAAUUAUUGGGCGUAAAGCGUCCGCAGGCGGUUUUGAAAGUCUGUUGUUAAAGCGUGGAGCUUAACUCCAUUUCAGUAAUGGAAACUACAAGACUAGAGUGUGGUAGGGGCAGAGGGAAUUCCCGGUGUAGCGGUGAAAUGCGUAGAUAUCGGGAAGAACACCAGUGGCGAAGGCGCUCUGCUGGGCCAUAACUGACGCUCAUGGACGAAAGCCAGGGGAGCGAAAGGGAUUAGAUACCCCUGUAGUCCUGGCCGUAAACGAUGAACACUAGGUGUCGGGGGAAUCGACCCCCUCGGUGUCGUAGCCAACGCGUUAAGUGUUCCGCCUGGGGAGUACGCACGCAAGUGUGAAACUCAAAGGAAUUGACGGGGGCCCGCACAAGCGGUGGAGUAUGUGGUUUAAUUCGAUGCAACGCGAAGAACCUUACCAGGGUUUGACAUCCUGCGAAUCCCUUGGAAACUUGGGAGUGCCUUCGGGAGCGCAGUGACAGGUGGUGCAUGGCUGUCGUCAGCUCGUGUCGUGAGAUGUUGGGUUAAGUCCCGCAACGAGCGCAACCCACGUCUUUAGUUGCCAGCAUUUAGUUGGGCACUCUAGAGAGACUGCCGGUGAUAAACCGGAGGAAGGUGUGGAUGACGUCAAGUCAUCAUGCCCCUUACAUCCUGGGCUACACACGUACUACAAUGCUACGGACAAAGGGCAGCAAACUCGCGAGAGCUAGCAAAUCCCAUAAACCGUGGCUCAGUUCAGAUCGUAGGCUGCAACUCGCCUACGUGAAGGAGGAAUCGCUAGUAAUCGCAGGUCAGCAUACUGCGGUGAAUACGUUCCCGGGCCUUGUACACACCGCCCGUCACACCAUGGAAGUUGGCCACGCCCGAAGUCGUUACUCCAACCCUUGUGGAGGAGGAUGCCGAAGGUGGGGCUGAUGACUGGGGUGAAGUCGUAACAAGGUAGCCGUACCGGAAGGUGC